This is a long non-coding RNA of Medicago truncatula (barrel medic), 1168 nucleotides long. RefSeq lists it as uncharacterized. The record is from RefSeq and is a predicted model, not a curated record. The transcript has 2 exons. Lineage: Eukaryota; Viridiplantae; Streptophyta; Magnoliopsida; Fabales; Fabaceae.
ACGUGUCUUUCAAUAUUUUUGCAGCCAUGCAUUCUAGAUAAUAGUCUUAACCUGAAUUGAUUGGAGAGCCAUUGGAGUUGAACGUGUUGGAGCAACAUCUGAGACCACUAGAACAACAUCUCCUUUGUUGAUUAAUCCUUUAGAUUUCAUAAGCUGAACAGAUUUUGAGAUAUUUGAUUCAGCAUCAUCUGAUAAAUCAACAAGAAGUGGUACAACACCCCAUUGCAAAUUCAGAGCCAUUCGAGUACUUUCAUCGUCGGUGAAAGCAAAGAUGGGAGGAUCUGGACGGUUGCGAGAUAGUAAUGAUGCCAUAUAUCCAUGUUUUGUGUAAACAAAGAUGGCAUCCACACCAAGUUUGUUGGCUGCAGACAGACACAGACAAGCACAAAAGGAGUGAAUUCAAUAAUCUACUUAUGCAGAUUUCAUAACAAGGUGGGAAGAAGGAAUAUGAAGUACCCAUUUCAACAGCACAAUUGCAUAUUUGCUCAGUGAUGCAAUCUGGCAAUGAUGCUCCAAGUUUAUGGUGAUUGAGAAGACUUUGUCUAUUUUCCUCCCUACUCCAUGAUUCCAUUCUACUGCUGGUCAUAUCCAACACUGUCAAUGCUUUCUGUCCAAAUGAACCGAUAGCUGACUCACCAGACAACAUCAAAGCAUCCGCGUACUGUCGAACUGCUUCAGAAAUAUCUGCUACCUUUAUUGCAUAAAAGCGAAGAUUUAUUGUAAUAGGUAAGUACAAGUUCAGCAUUCCAAAAGAAAAACUGAAAACUUAUUAUCAUAGAUAGGAAUUCUGCUCUAAGUUUACGAUCAUCGUGGAUGUAUAAAUUGAUUUUACCUCGGCACGAGUUGGUGUUGGAUACUCAAUCAUUGACUCAAGAAGCUGAGAAGCUACAAUCACUGGCUUAUUUUGUUGUCUGCAAAUGUGAAUUAUAUCCUCCUGAACUGUAGGAAUCUGCUCAAGUGGUAUUUCGACUCCAAGGUCACCUCGAGCUACCAUGAUUCCAUCAGACGCUUUCACUAUUUCCUCCAGAUUAUGAAGGGAUUCUAAGCUUUCUAUCUUUGCCAAUACUUUUAUGGAUCUGAAAAUACCAUUUAACAUUCUUAAUUUGUGCUAAAAUAACUUUGAAUUAAAGCACUUAUACAGAAGAAAACACAUCAGCAUCUUUUCAAA